GGGCAAUGUCGUCCUUCGGAGUUUCAGCUUCAGCCAUUGUUGUACUUUGCUUAUGCUUAAUUCACUCUAUACAAGCUUCACAACACGAUUACUCCGCCGAUAAAUUCGUAAGCAAAGGCAAUGUGUUUGUAGUUCAUGGAGGUAGUGAAGGAAUUUACUCUUCUAACCCUAACAUCAACCAAUCUUCUACCGCUUCGGCAGAUGGACAGUCUUUUAUACGUUUUGAGAAGAUUAUAUUCCGGAGACCUGAAGAAUUUUCAAACUUUAGCUCAGGAUCAAUUCAUGCAGUUGUUUUUGAGGUGGAUGACCGAGAGACAAUUGGCGGCUCUGCCUAUGGGGGGCAAAGAGCUGUUUGUUGCACAGCAGAUCUUGCAAAACUGGGAGUUUGUACACAAGGGGAAAUAAUUCACCGCCCAUCUACUAAUAAUCCUGGUUGGCCUAAAGUAUUUGGUGCCUCAUUUGGCAUUGAUGAGCUUGAAGCAAAACUGCAGCCGAGAACAAUACAUAUAACAAAAACUGGAAUGUACAAUGUGUACUUUAUGCACUGCGACCAUAAUCUUAAGGAAGUUGUUGUUGAAGGGAAAACCAUAUGGAAAAAUCCUACCGGUUACCUACCUGGUAGAAUGGCACCACUUAUGAAUUUCUAUGGGUACAUGUCUCUUAUGUUUGUGCUACUUGGGAUCUUUUGGUUUUCUCAGUACGCGAGAUUCUGGAGAGAAGUUCUUGCUUUACAAAAUUGUAUUACUCUCGUAAUAACAUUAGGCAUGUUUGAGAUGGCAUUAUGGUAC
This 788-nucleotide unclassified non-coding RNA is filed under the name Hevea brasiliensis (rubber tree). The record is from RNAcentral. Lineage: Eukaryota; Viridiplantae; Streptophyta; Magnoliopsida; Malpighiales; Euphorbiaceae.